AUGCACAUCUUUGAUUUUUGUGUUUUUAUCAUGACAUGUGUUCGAUGCAACAAGAGAGAUGCUUUCGAUAUGGGCUAUAUGGUACAUAACGCUUGGACCGAUUGCAGGUGAGACGAUGUUAGAGAUGACAUGAUUGAAGGAAGAGGCUAAAACGCCGGUUGAGCAACAACUUGCAGCAGAGAGAAGGUGCAUAAACAGCAGAGUGAGACCUUGAAAGCGAACUACAAGUAUGAGCUGAUUGAUGGUGCACAAGACGAUGGGAUGGUGAAGUGUUUUGCUAGCCAUUAUGGGAAAUAAAAACUCGACGACGACUAUUCUGAUGCUUCUAAGCUUCUUGACAUAUGUAACUUCAUAGUUUAAGUGAAAGUGAUGCUUAAGAA
Molecule: long non-coding RNA, 380 nt
Filed under: Helianthus annuus (common sunflower)
Lineage: Eukaryota; Viridiplantae; Streptophyta; Magnoliopsida; Asterales; Asteraceae
Description: hypothetical non coding rna
Source: RNAcentral